CGAGGCGAGUGGAUCACAAGGUCAGGAGAUCGAGACCAUCCUGGCUAACGCGGUGAAACCCCGUCUCUACUAAAAAUACAAAAAAAUUAGCCGGGCGUGGUGGCGGGCACCUGUAGUCCCAGCUACUCAGAAGGAUGAGGCAGGAGAAUGGCGUGAACCCGGGAGGCGGAGCUUGCAGCGAGCCGAGAUUGCGCCACUGCACUCCAGCCUGGGCGACAGAGCGAGACUCCGUCUCAAAAAAAAAAAAAAAAAAAAAAAAAAAAAAAAAAAAAAAAAUUCAGAAGGUAACUACGGACCUCAUUGGUCUAUUGCUAAUACAGAAUGAGACGAUACAGUGAAAGAACUCUCCAAAUGACAAAGCACGAUCUCCAGCUAAGAGUAUCGCUUCUGUUGCAUCAUAGUGAAGUAGUUCCACAGCUGUUUCUGCUCAGACUGACUGGUUAAAAUCUUGGCUAUACUGCCAGGAUUUAAGACAUUUUGAAAAUGGGCAAAGCCUCAUUUUUCCUAGGUCAAAAGGAGUUCAAGGUUGGGGAAAUCUGAGGAUUCAGAAGGAUGAUAAAUGUUAGAACAUGGAAUCAGGGUGCUUAGACUCUUGGUGCCUCAAUUUCUCUGUCAGUUAAAUGCCAUAUGAUAAAAUGACUUAUCUCAUUGGCUUGAUGUGAGAAAGAAAUGACUACAUAUAAUGAUCAGCAACAUUCCUGGCACAUAGUAAACAUCGAUAUAUUAUUAUUAAUACCUCCACCUACUCUAUAUACUGACUCCCUAUCCUUCCUCUCUUCCUCCUUCCCUGGAUCUUAAAAGAUGAGUGUGAUUAGAAACAAAAUUUUAUUGUGAUAAAGUCCACCUGAAUGUUCCCUCAGAUAUUAACUAAAUCUCUUUCAUAUGCAUCCUUUGGACAAAAGUCUCUUCCUUUUUGCUAGGAAUUGUCUCAUUUCUUUUCCUCCUGCUUUAGGAAAAAAAAAAAAAAAAAAAGCAUGUGCAAGAAUUAUUUCUUCUUCUCCCCGGAUGUCACCAGCACUAACACCUGUCCUAGUUCCAGCUCUGGUGAACUCCAGCAGAACUGCUCAAGUGGACAGCAUUAGGAACCUUGUCAGUUUUGCAGUGCUUUUUGCCUGAAGCCACCUCAGGUCCCUCAUGCUGCAGCAACAUGAUUGAUGACUCUGUUGAAGAAUGUGAAGGAGCAAGUCUCUCAAUUGGCUAAUUGAAUCAAGCUCUGG
Molecule: long non-coding RNA, 1217 nt
Organism: Symphalangus syndactylus (siamang)
Lineage: Eukaryota; Metazoa; Chordata; Mammalia; Primates; Hylobatidae
Source: RefSeq, a predicted model, not a curated record